ACAUAGCUGAUGAUGUAAACAGAAAAGACGCCUCAUCCGGAUAAGUCACAUACCAUAAAGACAGACAAUCUGUGUUUAUCUCGGCAACAGUAAUUCAUUUUUGUUUUCCUUGAUAUGUUUUAAUUCAUAGAAACAAGGAGCAAUGGACUUCUACAUCAAUUUGAAGGUGAAUUUCAGGGGGAAUGCGAAGAAUUUUCUUCUGUCAGGUUCGGAGACGAAGAGUUGGGAGUCAAUGGAGGCCAUGGUGAAACGGUCCUUUGGCCUGUGUAAUCUACAAGUUACUUAUUUUGAUGAGGAGAAUGAGGAGGUAUCCAUAAACUGCCAAAUGGAGUAUGAGGAGGCAUUAAAGAGUGCAUCCAGGCAAGGGAACCGGCUGCACAUGAAUGUGUAUGAGACCAGGGGUCAGCCCACACGUGUGCCGGCCAAGGCCAGUGGAGGGGAGCCCAAGAGAGGGUUCCGUCCCCCACAGCACUGCCCAACCCUGGCUCAGGUGGUGAGCCGGAAGGUCCAGGCUGCUGUCCCCGAACAGAGCAUGGUGAUCAUGAAAGAACUAAAGGGAACCAAAGAGGAAGAUAAGACGCCUCCAGCAUGGUUUACAUCUUACAUGGAGAAGUUCAAAGACCAAGUAGUGAGGGAGGCAGUGGAGAAGAUCUGUCGGGAGUUCUCGGGCCAGUGCUGCAUCCACAAGCCCAUUGGGGCUGAGGCCCAGAUCCCUGAGGUGACCUCCUCCACCCUGCCUGGUGGUCCUAGUUCCACCCCUGCCUGCAGCAGCUGCCGGGGCCAGACCGCUGGGGGAGGAUAUCAGUGCAGUGUGUGUACGUCCUGCACACUGUGUGAGCCCUGCAGCUUCUCCCAUGACCCCAGCCACAACCUGGUGAGAGCCAGAACACCCCUCUCCAUCCCUGAGCACGGCUCACCAGCCCCAGACCACAGCAGGUUCUACCGGCGAGGGGACCGGAGCUUCCGUAAGGCAGAGAAGCAGCGUCUGAAGGCUGAGAAGCGUCAGCUGAAGGCGGAGGUAAAGGAGAUCAGGAAGCAGCUGAAGAUGGAAAGGAGGGGCCUGCAGUGGAGUGCUGCUGGCGACGGGAGCUCCUCACCCGUCCUGCUCCAACCCAGGGCCACCCAGGCCAACAGCCCAGAGCGUCCCAAGCGGCCCUGCCCUCUGGUGGUGCCAGCCAUGACGGCCCUGUUCCUGGAUGAGAACCUGCCUGAUGGGACUCGUCUUCGUCCGGGCACCAAGUUCAUCAAGUACUGGAAGAUGAGAAACACUGGCAGCGUGAGCUGGAGCUCUGAGACCAAGCUGAAGUUCAUGUGGGGGAAUCUGGCGGUGGCGUCGGGCGACCGCUGGCGUGAGGUGGCUGUGCCUUUCUUGCAGCCAGGUCAGGUGGGCGUGGUAAGCGUGGCCCUAUGCGCCCCAGCCCUGGAAGGCUCAUACACCUCCCACUGGCGUCUGGCACACGGUGGGGAGCAGUUUGGCCCUCGCGUCUGGUGCAGCAUUGUGGUGGACCCCCUGGCCCCUGCAGCCGUGAUGGCAGAUGGCGUGCUGGUGUCGCCCUGCGUCACCCCUCAGGGGAAGAACCCCCUCUCCACAGAUAAGGGUGGUAAGUCUUGUACUGCAGCCUCUAGGGACCAAGCACUCAUGUCAGUGGACCAAGACGAACAAGAAUACUACAUUCCCUCUGUGGACCUGCUCACAGCCCAGGAUUUACUCUCCUUUGAGCUGCUGGACAUCAACAUUGUUCAGGAAAUAGAGAGCGUGCCCAAUAACACCCCGGCAGAUAUGACCCCGUGCAUAUCCCCACUGCCCCAUGACGGUCCCCUGCAGGAGAAGCCCACCCUGGGGUUGAUCCAGGAGGAAGCAGAGGCCCAUCAGGCCCAGGGAGUCAAAAGCAUCCAGCCGUCUCAGGGCCUGGGGCCAGGGGCGGAGGGGGGCCGGGUUCCAGCCCAGGAGGAGGGAGAGGAGGAUAUGAGUGGGACUCAGUUUGUGUGUGAGACAGUGAUGCGCUCGCUCACACUGGAGGAGGCCCCAGACCACACACCCCUGUGUGGGAACUGCCCCGGCAAAGUGGUCCGCCCAGCAGCCCAAGGUGGCUCCGCCUCCUCUUCUCUUAAAGAGAAAGGUGCUGAGAAGCGUUUGGAGGCGAGGUUGGAGAAAACCCGGGACAUAUCCCCUGUGGCCCCUCUCACAGGCCUAGCACCACCCCAGCUGGCUAUACCAGAGCUGAUGAUGCCAGAUGAGGUACUGGAGUCAGACAUUGAGAGCAUCUGCGUGGACGCCAGCGGGGACGAAGACAAGGGCGAAGAUAAAGGAGAGUUGACAGAGGGGAACACAGUCGCCCGCAGCCGUUCCUCCUCUGCCUCAUCCGAGGAUUACAUCAUCAUCCUCCCUGACUGCUUCGACACCAGCCGCCCGCUGGGAGAGUCCAUGUACAGCUCCGCCCUCUCCCAGCCUGGCGACGUCCCCGACACGCCCACAGACCCUGACCGCCAGGGUCGUACCACUCCCGAGGGGGAGCACGAUGAAGCAGAAGAGACGGUUUCAGGCUCCAGCAGCGCUAACGAUAUGCUGUGCACCUCCCAGACAUUGGACGCCGUUCCCCUAACCCCUGUGGUGGUGGCACCCCCUCGGCUCAACUCAGCUCUUACACUCAGCCUAGACAGCAAUGAUCAGACCGAGGCAGCAGCAGAGUCCCUGGACAGGACUGAGGUCUACCAGCAGGGAGAGUCAGAGGAUGGUUCCAAGCAGCCAGACAGCCAACCAGACAGUCCAUCUGCUUCUGGUGACUCAGAAGACAACUCCGAAGACCCUAGGUGGGACCCUGAUGUGCAACUCAGCACCCAGGCAUCACUGGAGGCCUGGUGAAAGGAGCCCUGUCUGUCGCAGCAUCAGCCUACAAGGCUCUGUUCACUGGGCAGCCUGGCCCAGUGCAGCCCCCAGUGGAUGGAGCCACCCAGGACACCAUGAUGGGGGUGCUGGUGGAGAUGGGCUUUGGUGACCGGCCGCUCAACCAGCGGCUGCUGAAGAAACACAACUACAACCUGCUGGACGUGGUCAACGAACUGGUCCAGAUGACCGACAAUGACUGGUACUCCACCCGCUACUGAGGAGAGAGGGAGGAGGAGGAGCUGGGGUGGCGUCAUGGGUUUAUCCUCUGAUGCCUUGACCUCUCGUCUCUUCUUCCUCUUUUUAGAUUUGGACCAAGUUGACAGGAGGUAUCCUGAUUUAUGACCUAGAGACAUUCCCACGGACUUUGGGAUAUUUAGACUAUCAAAUAGCUACAGUAUGUAUGUAGAUUCAUUUAACAUGGCUGUUUCUGGCUGUUGGCUUUUGCAUAGGAAAGGGGGAGACUGAAGGGGGGUGGAUGAGGUGGGCUACUCUUUCCAGGAGAACACCUUCAUUGCUGUGGUAUCAAAUGGCAAACAUAUCACAAGUUGCUAUCACCAAGCCAUUCCUGUUAAACAGUAUACUCACCCUUGAAGUCAUAGAUUGGAAUACAGGCUGAAUAGGCAGCCAUAGACCAGGUAUAUUCAACAAGAGUUACAGAAAAGGUGUAAGUUUAGCUGAAGGUGUGUUGGGUGUAAUAUUUAUCACAGAGAGCCAGAACCAUAUGAGGCAAUAGUCAACAUUGUAUGACGUUAAUCAACUUCAUAGAGUGUUUGAAUAGUGGACAUGUCAGGUCCUCGUUCCAAGUGUGAAUGACUGUCAGUGUUGGAGAACACUAUGCUUCAUUCAGAUCACAGCAAUUAAACACACACACACACACACACAAACACUCACCCCCACAUGCUUAAACCUUUCUCAGCUUAACUGUUCAAAGUAUCAGCGUACUGUAGACAUAAUGCGUGUCUUAUUGAUUGAAGAUAAUCAUUCCCCUACUUUCUGUGAUGUUGUGCCAUGGCUGGCAACAUGCUAUGGAUAUUUGUGCGUAAUGGUGUACACAUGAAGUAUUUUUGAAAUGAGGACCAUUACAUUGAUGCACUCCAUUUAAUUCCAUUUUGAAAGGGUAUAUGAAUCACCAUUCUUAACUAGGAGUAUAUUUGGGUUGAAAAAGAAAAAUCAUGUAAAUAUAAUAUACAAAUUAUUUUUUUUGUUGCACAUGGAAGACAUAAAUAUUGAUGCAAACCCAAAAGACUAGCUGCUCAAGAAGUGAAGGAUGUUAUACAUUUUAAGAUCCUGUUGAAGGGAUUUUAUCAAGAAAUGAAAUAACAUACUUUACAACAUGUCUUCAAUCGGCUCUAUAUUGUCCACAGAGGGAGGGGGGUUCUUUUCAGAGCCAUACCUGGUGAUCAUGAUGUAUCAAAAGCAUUUUCUCGUUCCAGUUGGUAUCAUUCUUAAAAAAAAAAUGUACGUCAAGUUCUUUCAAAACUUAAGCUGAAAUCAAGCAGUAUGUAACAACAAGUUUGAAAUGCUUUUAUUCUUUUCCAAUAUGGAAAUGCUAACGUGUUUCAGGUGAUCCUAAGAGGUAAUCUUUGUUGUUAAAAGAUUUUUUGUUUUAGAGUUGAUUGCUUGAGGGCUGUUUUGGAAAUGUAAAGGAAGAUUUGCCUAUGUUCUUCUGGUUGAAGCUUGCUCACGUCAUUGUGCUUGAAUUUCCACUGUUCUAAUAUGUUUAUAUUUGAAGAAAAUAUACUGGAAAGGUUUGCUUAAGUCUUGUACACUAAGGUGAAAUUGACAGGGUUGUGAGCAUUGUGAAAAAGAAUUAACACUUACAGUGGUCAGUAAAAAAUGUAGCAAAUGGAUAUUGGUAAAAAUCAUUAAUACAAAAGCCCAUUGAAUCGACCCUAUUUUGGUAUAAUGUAGUCUUAAUGGUUCUUGGGAUUAGGGUCUUACCAAAAGAUAAGUGUCUGCUAAAUGACUAGAAUGUACAGUCCUACCAGGUGAUGGUAUCUGAUUUAUUGCCACUUAUGAGUCAACUUUUAGGGUGUCAAGGAGAAACUGAAUUCAAGGAAUAUAAGGAUUGUGGUCUUUUGAAUUAAAAUUAAAGCUUUUCCCACAGUGGAAAACUAUACGUCAGCAAUUAUGGCAGGUUAAUGGAGGUCAGAAACAGUGCGAUUCAUACAUUUCUACAUACAUGUACUUGAAACAUUCAUACCUUCCAUAUAUGGGCAGGAUCAUUUCAUAGAGGGUGAAGAACGAGAACUCCAAAAAGUGUUUUGGGAGGGAUAAUGUGCAGAUUGUCUAAACUCUUUCUGUGUUGCACUUAAGACUUACCUGGAACCCUGACGUUGAAUUGCAUUGAAUUCUAGGUCGGCAGAAUUUAGCAUUUGAAUCAGGAAAAGUGUAUACUCACGACCUCUACAAGCCAGAAUGUUGAAUAAAAUUAUAUUUUAAUGUACUUUACCGCCAUGCACACAUGAUAAAAAUACAUGCAUUAGUUACUUGCCGAGCUCGUGCACGUGUUUACAUGUUUUGCUCAUGCUUCAGGUGAUAGAAAUCUGAAUGUAAUUAUACUUUCCUGUGGAUAUUGUCUCACAUUCCUUCCACCAAAAGGACCAACCACAAAGACAACCGGUAAAGUACGUAAAAAUAUAAUUUUAUUCAACAUUCUGGCUUAUAGAGCUCGUGAAAGCAAACUUGCCUGAUUCAAACGCUCGUUUCUGCCGACCUAGAAUUCAAUGUAAUUCAAUGUUGGGUUUCCAGGCAAUUAAAAGACAGGCUACCUGUGAUGUACAAAUAUCUUGUCUCUAAUAAAAGACAUUACACUUA
Molecule: non-coding RNA, 5704 nt
Organism: Salmo salar (Atlantic salmon)
Lineage: Eukaryota; Metazoa; Chordata; Actinopteri; Salmoniformes; Salmonidae
Source: RefSeq, a predicted model, not a curated record